UCGCGAAGGAAGGAGGACGCGGACAGUUCUAGUUCUAUUUCACCUCAGAAGCGCUCGCUUAGUCCGCGCAAAAAUGUUUCCUCCGAAUUGCUCUCCAAGGACGGUGUUUUUGACCGUGACAACCUGCUGACUGACUACCUGCUGCUUCAGUGAACCGAAGAGACUGGAAAGAGAACACUAAUUUCUUUACCAUGUAUUUGUUUUUAUAUAAAUAAGUACAUAUUGUUUAAUAAGAAUCUGUAAUAAAGGCAAAGUACUAUGAAGGCACUGAUCUCGACAAGAGGCGCAUCAUUCGUAGGGGAGGCAGAUGAAUUCACAAUUCAGUAGCGAGACCAAUACAGAAAGAGAGAGAGGAAGAAAGUGAGAAAGAAAGUGACAGAGGGAGAGAGAGAGGCAAUCACCUGUACCUACCGGGGAAGGAUGGCCAGCCACACAGGAGAGUGAUUUUCACCAAGGAGGAAAUGGAGGCCGCGCUGACAGAGAUGCAUGCUGGACAUUUCGGAGUGAAUCGCAUGAUUGCCAAAAUCAACGGUCAACCACUGAAAUCCCUGACGCCUUACACUUCGGUGAAGCCCGUGAGACAAAGUGACGUUCGUCCCACCCUGACAGUCCUGCCCCCCUCCAGUGUGGAGCUGCAGCAGGGGAAGGCCACUCUCAUGUGCCUGGCCAACAAGGGCUUCCCCUCAGACUGGAAGCUGAGCUGGAAGGUGGAUGGUAGCAGCAGUAACACCUGGGAGGUGACCGGGAGCCCCGGGGUCCUGGAGAAGGACGGCCACUACAGCUGGAGCAGCACCCUGACCCUCCCUGUUGAUCAGUGGAAGAAGGUGGGCUCUGUGACCUGUGAGGCCACCCAGGGCUCCCAGUCUCCUCUCUCUGAGACACUGAAGAGAGACCAGUGUUCUGAUUAAUGAGCUCCCCCCUCUGACUUCACUUUUUUUUACCCUGUUCUGCACUCAGCAUCUCUCCUUCUUACUGAUCCGGCACUACUACCACACUGGUCUGGUUCUGGGCUGGGCCUUUCUCCAGAAUAUCUGUCUGAUUCUGAUGUCAAAGUUCUGCUUGGCUUUCUUACAUUUGUUAUAAUCUUUAUUCCUGUAAUGCUGUUGGUUCUGACAUGCUGAGAUAAUAAAUACUUUUCCCCAUCCUUAA
Non-coding RNA from Oncorhynchus keta (chum salmon), 1149 nucleotides. NCBI's taxonomy places the organism in Eukaryota, Metazoa, Chordata, Actinopteri, Salmoniformes, Salmonidae. The record is from the annotation of a RefSeq genome assembly.